UUUCUUGUACAAAUUCAUGGCUUGCUAAUCUCCUUCCCUACUUUCUUGAAAUCCUGAUAAGAAAAGGAAAGACUAUCAUCAUCGUUCAUUUCCACCCAUACACUAAGUAUGCUCUACACUUGCCUCUUUGAGGAUCCCGUGCAUCAGAAAAUAGUGUUAUCACCACUAAUCAGAUAAAAACUACUACAGUUUGCCCUGUGUGUCACCCCUUCCACCCUUUGGUAUUCGGUGUUUUUGGGUGAAGUAGUGGAAACGAGUGGACAUUUUUUUCUCAUCUCAGGGCGUUUAACUCUUUUUUAUAUAGAAUUACUGCCUAAAUCCUUCUAAGGCUCGUUUUGAACCUUUUUCUCCUUAUAAGAAUAGGAUUUUGACCUAAGGAAAUAGAUGUAUAUGGUAAAAUAAUUCUAAAAUUAGUUUCUAUUGUAAGCCCAAUUAAGAAAUCUUACCAGCCCUUCAAGAAUCAAUCUUUAUAGGCAAAAUCUGAUCAUCAGCCUUAGUACAUGUCUAAUAUAGCUCAAGAAAGUGAAUAAAGCCCAAAGAUUCGUCCAAGAAGCAACCAAAAUUCAUGGAGUUAUAGUCUAGCUAUUCUUCACGAAAAUUUGUAGCUUUUUUACUUUUGUUGUUUCUUUAGAUCAAAAACCCUCAAAUACAUAAAAGACAAAUAAUGAUUUAAGAAGUUCAUGAAAAUAUUAAAUAAUUGUAAAGAAAGUAUUAAAAAUUAAGAACUUAUCAAAAAACGAGGCACACAAUAUUGUGGUGGUGAGACAAACCCAAGUUUGUAGAGGCAAAACAAACGACGGUGGCUCGUGAACUUUUGGAAUUAGAACAACUACUCUAAAUAACGGUAAUUGUUUCAUUGAGUUCCUGGGAUUUGAUCAUUAUCUUCAGACGAGUUGAUUGGCUAUGGUAAUGAAGCAUGAAAGACAAUGAGCAAUGAUGGAUAUAGAUUGGAUAAGAGGUGGUGGGUCUAAUUUUCGUAAUGGGGAAAAAUUUUGAAUAAGAAAAAUUAGGGAUUUGAGAGGUUCAAAUGUGUAAGGUAUAACCAUAAAGUUGUUGGAUUCAUAUAUGUUGAAUCUUGAUGAGCAUAUAUUAUAGAUAUAUUUUAUCCUUAAUUAUAUAAUUGUUAGUUUUUUUUUUUGUUAUUUUUAAUUAAUUAAAUUAUUUCAUUGAACAGGGUAAUAAAUUGAAGAUUGGGAAUAAUAUGUGCAUAAAGGGAUCAAAGCUAGAGAGAGUUGAAGAUUGUUUAUGCUCGUUGCCGCGGUGAUAAAGUCGAAAGAAAAAAACCAAUUAAAUCGAUUGGCCGAAUUAAUAGCUAAAGGACAUGAGAAAUAUUAGCCAAAUUAAAUGGGUUGAUUACAAUUCCAAGUGGUGAGCACGUGAGUGAAGCAAAACCAAUUACAAGGCCAAGCCUUUUAGCUUUAAAAUUGGAAUGGUCGGUGGCCCACUUUGGAGAUUAUAAAAAGAAAGCUAAACUUUGGCUUUUGAGGAGGGUAGCCGCCAGAGGAAGCAAGAGCCACCAGACGCAAAAGAAAAGGAGAAGAAGAAUAGCGGCAGCAGUAACAAUUUAAUUCUCCAUGGCUGGUUUUAUUUGCUUUAUUGCUCCCAAUUCAAGUAUGUCUAGCUAAUUUUCUUAUACUGAGGUUAAGAAUGAAACUUCAUUCAAUGAAAUAAUUAUCUUUUAUUUAAUUAAUUCCAUAUAUAUGUUCUUUAAUGUUUAUGGUUCUUGUUUCACAUGAUUAGUUGGAUG
This 1747-nucleotide long non-coding RNA is filed under the name Citrus sinensis (sweet orange). RNAcentral describes it as "long non-coding RNA (CSIN_LNC005162)". The record is from RNAcentral. Lineage: Eukaryota; Viridiplantae; Streptophyta; Magnoliopsida; Sapindales; Rutaceae.